Long non-coding RNA from Oncorhynchus keta (chum salmon), 615 nucleotides. RefSeq lists it as uncharacterized. The transcript is spliced from 5 exons. The record is from RefSeq and is a predicted model, not a curated record. Lineage: Eukaryota; Metazoa; Chordata; Actinopteri; Salmoniformes; Salmonidae.
GUUCAGGUCAGGAGGUCAGGUCAGGUCAGGAGGUCAGGUCAGGAGGUCAGGUCAGGAGGUCAGGUCAGGAGGUCAGGUCAGGAGGUCAGGUCAGGAGGUCAGGUCAGGAGGUCAGGUCAGGAGGUCAGGUCAGGAGGUCAGGUCAGGAGGCCAGGUCAGGAGGUCAGGUCAGGAGGUCAGGUCAGGAGACCAGGUCAGGAGGUCAGUCUCCAUGCUGAGGAUACGGUCAGGAGGUCAGGUCAGGAGACCAGGUCAGGAGGUCAGGUCAGGAGGUCAGGUCAGGAGAUCAGUCGACACGAUGAGGAAACAGCCAGACCAGGUCAGGAGGUCAGGUCAAGAGGUCAGGUCAGGAGACCAGGUCAAGAGGUCAGGUCAGGAGACCAGGUCAAGAGGUCAGGUCAGGAGAUCAGUCUACACGAUGAGGAAACAGCCAGACCAGGUCAGGAGGUCAGGUCAAGAGGUCAGGUCAGGAGACCAGGUCAAGAGGUCAGGUCAGGAGAUCAGUCUACACGAUGAGGAAACAGCCAGACCAGGUCAGGAAGUCAGUGAUCAUACUCCUUGUCUAUAAACUUGGCCAUGGUGGACAGCUGGAUGUUGGUGGUGCCCUCAUAAAUG